UAAAGAAAUUUGAACCUGGUGGAGCACCAUACUAGUAAGUCAAUUCCCUUCCUCUCUCCCUAUCAGGGGAAAAGAAAAAAGAAAAAAAAUCUCCCAUCUUCAACAUGACCUCAGUGAUUUCUCUUCAUUCAUCUGAUCAUCUUCCUCAUUCUUGAAGUCAUGGCUUUGAUGUUGAGGUUACUAGUGAGGCUGCUGAUGGCACUAAUGUCGCAGCCAGCUGCCUCUGUCACAACCUUACUGUAUUACAGUAAUCUUCUUCCAAGAAACUUGAACUUAGAGCGAUUGGUUCGUCAAGAAUUGCUCCACGAGGAAAACUAUUUGUUUAAUUUUCUCAUCAGUGUCUUGAGAUGUUUCUGAGUGAGGACUGCAUACUUUUCCUGCAAUGGUAUCCAUGGAUGGAUCGGUGAGUUGUAAUCUUUUACGUUUGAACAGAUGCAAGAAAUUAUGAGGCUUUUAUACAGUACUCCUGAAGAGUUGGAAUCAAUAUUUUGUAAUUAGGAUUAUUUGCAUGUUAAAGGGAGAGGCUGAGUCUGUGAAAUGGAGAGCAUGAGCGUUGAUGAUUUGAUAUUUAACUGAAGUAUUCAAUGUUACAUAUACAUUUCUCUUGCUUUUAUUGAUAUUAUUUUUUGGGAUUGCAAUCAA
Long non-coding RNA from Hevea brasiliensis (rubber tree), 642 nucleotides. RefSeq lists it as uncharacterized. The transcript is spliced from 3 exons. NCBI's taxonomy places the organism in Eukaryota, Viridiplantae, Streptophyta, Magnoliopsida, Malpighiales, Euphorbiaceae. The record is from RefSeq and is a predicted model, not a curated record.